Molecule: non-coding RNA, 67 nt
Organism: Cylas formicarius (sweet potato weevil)
Lineage: Eukaryota; Metazoa; Arthropoda; Insecta; Coleoptera; Brentidae
Source: the annotation of a RefSeq genome assembly
ACUUAAAUAUUUUAUAUAAAUAAAAAUAUUAAUUUGUGGAAUUAAAGAAAUGGAAACAUUUUAAGUA